Long non-coding RNA from Xiphophorus couchianus (Monterrey platyfish), 2433 nucleotides. RefSeq lists it as uncharacterized. NCBI's taxonomy places the organism in Eukaryota, Metazoa, Chordata, Actinopteri, Cyprinodontiformes, Poeciliidae. The record is from RefSeq and is a predicted model, not a curated record. The transcript is spliced from 2 exons.
AUGAUGGUUAGGGUCACAAUGACAUCCCCCUGAACCCGUCCAAGCCUAAACUCCCUCACCCAACAACAGCCCAGACAAGGUUAAUCAAGCCUCGCUGUGUGUUAUAUAAGGCCAGUUAGGGAUCUAUGCCAUUAAAUUAAGGCUAAGGUAAAGUAGCUUCCUUCUGUAAAACACAAGGAGACUUCACAUAAUCCUAAAUGAAUGUAUUAAGGUAAAAACGUAAGCACUGAUACCCCGGGGUUAGGAACCUGUUGGUUGAUUUAAACCUGUUGGUUUAAAUCAACCGACAGGUUAUAAGGUAGCCAUGAUCCAUGAACCCAGGUAAAAUGGUAAAUCUAAGUAGAGAUACACAUCAAGCCUGAGGUCAGGGUUGGGGUAGGGGAAGGGUCAGAGUUAGAUGUUCAUGAUUUUCCAUUCAUUUGCAUGCCUUCCGCCCCGACCCCAAUUAUCCAGGAGGACCAACAUGGACAUCAGGCAGGCAUUUGAAUUGGGCCACUUGGGUCCAAACAGGACAUUUGGGAAGAUUUUGCAAUUCCUGGUAAUGCCUGAUGGCAGCCUUGUCUUGAAGAGUAGAGUGACGUUCACCCCACAUGAAGCUGGGGGCCAAAUGGCAUAUGUGUAAUGGGUGGGUCAAUGUGGACAAGGUUCUGCUCUCUGCUGGGUUUGGACCACCUUAUAUUAGUAGUUCUGGCUCCUCCUGGUUCUGGACACCUUUUCCAAGGUACGCCUGGUUCCUGGUUCUCCCCUUGGUUCUCAGUUUACCAAGUUUCUGAGCACCAGGCCUAGAGUAACCCGCGACCAUUAGGGGCCUCCUGGGUCGUCCUCAGUGUCCCGUUCAGUGCAUGCCAAAUGCCCCGUUUUAUCCCUAAAGAACCCUUUUACUUCCUGUGACCAGAACUGAUCUGUGCAGCGUUGAUCAGGUCAGAACUGAAAUGUUUAAAAUCAUACACACAAAAAAGGAGAAAAAUCACAUUAAAAUAUUUAUUUUUUGUUUAAACUCUUCAAACAGUCGGAUUCAUCUUUUAUACAGAAAAAAGUAAAAACAUGUUUGUCCUUUAAAAUGGUGGAAUGUCCUUUAAAAACAGUGAGACUGCGUCACGUGACUGGUCACUGCUGCCGGACAGAAAUUUGAAUUCAAUGUCUUUACAACGCCAAGUCACCUGUCCUCUGAGAAACCGAGCUGCUGAUUUCCCCCGAGUUCAGUCUGACAGGCAGAACUCAGCCUGGCAGUCUAAACACAGGGUGCUACAGGGUAAAAACAUGAGCUAAGUUUGUGCACAAACUGUGAGAAGUGUUUUUAGGUUAGUGUUUAGUGAUGUCCCACUGCGCCUGAACGCAGCACGACCCCUCAGUAAACAUGUUUUAAAUUAAAAAGCUGCUUCCUGUUGUCUUCUUCUUCCUCCACUAAAACGAGCUCCAUAAAUAAAUGUAGUGCGCUCGGAGCAGGAUGAACCGCUACAGCAAACCAACAGUGACCUUUAACCUGCAGUGUCGCCAUGGCAACAGACAGGCUUCAGCUUCGUAUGUACAACAUAUCUACACAUGUAUAUAUAUAUAUUUAUAUUUAUAUAUAUUUACAGGAGUUUUCUGAACACUAACUGCUCCGUUACAGGGUGAAAAUCAGAACAACAGGAAAUCCAAACAGCUGAAUGUAAACGACAAUAAAAACAAACAUACAUAUAUGUAUAAACAUGAUUUCAUCUGUUGGCCCCAGGAUUGGCGGAAAGCCUGACAGUCAGAGUUCAGGGUUCAGUCAGAAAGAUCAAAGCGACUUUGGAUCUGAUGGAGACGCCAGAAACAGAGCGAAAGAAAAUAAAACAUCAAAAAUGGAGCCAGUCUUCAUGCUCCACACUUAAACUGAGCAACGCCUAGCUCUCUGCUGAUUGGUCGGCUUUCUACAGCCGGCCAAUCAGAGGACAGAGACCAAGAAACGAGCCUGGAGAAACAAACUGGAUUUUAAACAGAACUUCUGCUUUUCACAGCAACUUAAGGUAUGAAGUUGAGUAAAUAAAAUAAAAUAAGCCAUUUUUUAUAAGUAGCACUGUUAUAAUUUCAUCUGAAGUAAAAAAAUCAUACAGAAUAAAUUCUGGCUUCUGUUUAUUUCUUGUGUUUAAUUUAACCAACAUCUGGUCUGAAACUUGCUUAUUGGCGUUUCUGUCAACUCGUUCACAUACAGAGCACUUCACACUUAAUCUGAGUCUGAGUCUGAGAGAAAAACUAGAUUUAAAACCAUAUUUUAAAUAUGCGUCAUGUGACCGGUCACUGCUGCAGGACAGAAACCUGAAUUUCUGAUAUUAUAGUAUAUCAAAGGUCUGUAGUGAUCCAACAUAUCAAGCACAGCUUGUGUUCGCUAUUGUAACAUGAGUUUAGCUAACUGUGUAGCUAACAGCUAACUAACUUAGCCAGAGUUUUUGCUUUCCUAAAUUUUGGCCU